CCUACGGGAGGCAGCAGUAAGGAAUAUUGGUCAAUGGACGCAAGUCUGAACCAGCCAUGCCGCGUGGAGGAUGAAGGUCCUCUGGAUUGUAAACUUCUUUUAUCUGGGACGAAAAAGGGGGAUUCUUCCUCAACUGACGGUACCAGAUGAAUAAGCACCGGCUAACUCCGUGCCAGCAGCCGCGGUAAUACGGAGGGUGCAAGCGUUAUCCGGAUUCACUGGGUUUAAAGGGUGCGUAGGGUGGGCAGGUAAGUCAGUGGUGAAAUCUCCGGGCUUAACCCGGAAACUGCCAUUGAUACUAUUUGUCUUGAAUAUCGUGGAGGUUAGCGGAAUAUGUCAUGUAGCGGUGAAAUGCUUAGAUAUGACAUAGAACACCAAUUGCGAAGGCAGCUGGCUACACGAAUAUUGACACUGAUGCACGAAAGCGUGGGGAUCAAACAGGAUUAGAUACCCUGGUAGUCCACGCCCUAAACGAUGGAUACUCGACAUACGCGAUACACUGUGUGUGUCUGAAGCGAAAGCAUUAAGUAUCCCACCUGGGAAGUACGAUCGCAAGAUUGAAACUCAAAGGAAUUGACGG
This 580-nucleotide ribosomal RNA is filed under the name uncultured bacterium. RNAcentral describes it as "bacterial SSU rRNA". It matches the Rfam family "Bacterial small subunit ribosomal RNA", at positions 338 to 916 of the family's 1533-position model. The record is from RNAcentral.